This 482-nucleotide ribosomal RNA is filed under the name uncultured bacterium. Its description in RNAcentral is "partial 16S ribosomal RNA". It matches the Rfam family "Bacterial small subunit ribosomal RNA", at positions 30 to 507 of the family's 1533-position model. The record is from RNAcentral.
AUUGAACGCUGGCGGCAUGCCUUACACAUGCAAGUCGAACGGUAACAGGUCUUCGGAUGCUGACGAGUGGCGAACGGGUGAGUAAUACAUCGGAACGUGCCCGAUCGUGGGGGAUAACGGAGCGAAAGCUUUGCUAAUACCGCAUACGAUCUACGGAUGAAAGCAGGGGACCGCAAGGCCUUGCGCGGACGGAGCGGCCGAUGGCAGAUUAGGUAGUUGGUGGGAUAAAAGCUUACCAAGCCGACGAUCUGUAGCUGGUCUGAGAGGACGACCAGCCACACUGGGACUGAGACACGGCCCAGACUCCUACGGGAGGCAGCAGUGGGGAAUUUUGGACAAUGGGCGAAAGCCUGAUCCAGCCAUGCCGCGUGCAGGAUGAAGGCCUUCGGGUUGUAAACUGCUUUUGGACGGAACGAAAAGACUCUUUCUAAUAAAGAGGGUCCAUGACGGUACCGUAAGAAUAAGCACCGGCUAACUACGUG